This 607-nucleotide ribosomal RNA is filed under the name uncultured archaeon. Its description in RNAcentral is "bacterial SSU rRNA". It matches the Rfam family "Archaeal small subunit ribosomal RNA", at positions 252 to 859 of the family's 1478-position model. The record is from RNAcentral.
CCAAGCCAUUGAUCGGUACGGGUUGUGAGAGCAAGAGCCCGGAGAUGGAACCUGAGACAAGGUUCCAGGCCCUACGGGGUGCAGCAGGCGCGAAACCUCCGCAAUGUGAGAAAUCGCGACGGGGGGAUCCCAAGUGCCAUUCUUAACGGGAUGGCUUUUCAUUAGUGUAAAGAGCUUUUGGAAUAAGGGCUGGGCAAGACCGGUGCCAGCCGCCGCGGUAACACCGGCAGCUCUAGUGGUAGCAGUUUUUAUUGGGCCUAAAGCGUCCGUAGCCGGUUUAAUAAGUCUCUGGUGAAAUCCUGUAGCUUAACUGCGGGAAUUGCUGGAGAUACUAUUAGACUUGAGACCGGGAGAGGUUAGAGGUACUCCCAGGGUAGAGGUGAAAUUCUGUAAUCCUGGGAGGACCGCCUGUUGCGAAGGCGUCUAACUGGAACGGUUCUGACGGUGAGGGACGAAAGUUAGGGGCGCGAACCGGAUUAGAUACCCGGGUAGUCCUAACCGUAAACGAUGCGGACUUGGUGUUGGGGUGGCUUUGAGCUGCUCCAGUGCCGAAGGGAAGCUGUUAAGUCCGCCGCCUGGGAAGUACGGUCGCAAGACUGAAACUUAA